This 408-nucleotide ribosomal RNA is filed under the name uncultured bacterium. Its description in RNAcentral is "partial 16S ribosomal RNA". It matches the Rfam family "Bacterial small subunit ribosomal RNA", at positions 28 to 526 of the family's 1533-position model. The record is from RNAcentral.
GACGAACGCUGGCGGCGUGCUUAACACAUGCAAGUCGAACGAAGUGGCGAACGGGUGAGUAACGCGCAAUCAACCUGCCCUUCAGUGGGGGACAACAGUUGGAAACGACUGCUAAUACCGCAUACUGAAGGUGGGGAUUGCGUCUGGUUAGCUAGCUGGGGGGGUAACGGCCCACCAAGGCGAUGAUCAGUAGCCGGUCUGGAAGGAUGAACGGGCACAUUGGGACUGAGACACGGGCCAGACUCCUACGGGAGGGAGCAGUGGGGAAUCUUCCGCAAUGGGCGAAAGUCUGACGGAGCAACGCCGCGUGGGUGAUGACGGCCUUCGGGUUGUAAAGCUCUGUUAAUCGGGACGCGGUACCGGAAGAGAAAGCCACGGCUAACUACGUGCCAGCAGCCGCGGUAAUAC